RNAcentral lists this ribosomal RNA (1131 nucleotides) under Triticum aestivum (bread wheat). Its description in RNAcentral is "partial small subunit ribosomal RNA". The record is from RNAcentral. Lineage: Eukaryota; Viridiplantae; Streptophyta; Magnoliopsida; Poales; Poaceae.
AUGGCUUUGUGGGCGCGCCUUCUUAACAGCGAAAAUGCAUACAGAAUGAUCCUAAAGUUAAUCACAUUGGUUCCACCUGGUGAAAAAGUUGGGUUCGAAGGAGGACUAUACACCAAUCUGUGGACAGCACACAUAAGAACAGUAGCAGUAGUACUACUACUAGCAGUAGUACUACCAAAAGAAAGGAAAGAACAUAACAUGAAUUUGGCUAAGCCAAGCAUGAUCUUGCUUGCAUUGCCGCCUUUGCUACAUGAAGCAAUAGGGCCAACAGAGAGGAUGUUCUUACAAGGGAGCAAGAAGCCUGCUGCCAUGGCCCUAGGGUUUGCAGGUGAGGGGGUGGAGGAGAAGGGAGGAAUCACCAUGCAUAGGUUGGGGAGGGAGGAAGGAUGGAGAGGGAGGAAGGAUGGAGAGGGAGGAAGGAGGAAGGAGGAGAGGUACCUGGGCAGGCGCGGCCGGUCGCCGGAGGGGUCAGGGUCGGGGUUGGGGUCGGGGUCGGCGACGGCGGCAUCGUCGAAGGGAUGCCUCAGUUGGCCGUGGGAAGGCCGGCGGCCGCGUCUCGUCGUCCCGGCUGCCUGGCAAAGAGGAGCUACAGCCGGAGGUGGUUCUCUACACGGCGUGAGCUUCAGAGCGUCACGCCGCAGAGCGCGCACCUCAGCCGAUCUCUACGCCUUGCGCGCCCUGCUGCGGGGCUACGACCUGACCAUGGACGAGCGCGACGUGUCCAGGAGUAAAGCGCACCGCUGCAAGCUCAAGUCGUUACUCGCAGCUCGAGGCUGCCCCUUCUGCCUCCAGCAGCUCCUCGUCGGCUGCCCUGACAAUGUUAGGCAGCUGCUCGGGGCUGCGCCUUGUCCUUUUUUAUCCAACCCAAGCCUUGAUCUGGUCAUGGGAUGGCAUGACACGGUGAUCGCGGCAACGGCGAUAGGUCGGAAGGCGCCGGAGAGGAGAGGCGACGACGACGAGGGCGCGCAGACGCGAUCUAGGAGGACGGCCGCGACGGCGAGCGUGGCACGGGGGGCGGAGGAGGGGCGCGUUGGUGACGAGGAACAGGGUUUGAUGCGAGAGCGACGGGAAGAUUUGAAAUUUGCGUUUUCCGAAGAGGGAAGGGUGAAGGCAGCCGGGGGAGAACUGUAA